GGGGGCGUUUUGGAUUCGACGGGGAUUGUUUGAGCAUGCACGGCGGGUCGUGGGGCUGCGAGGCCACGUUAAAAACGCGGACCUAAAUCUAACUGGCAAAGCUAAAAAAAGCUUCACCUCAUACGACAGCAACCUCGCCCUGGCUGCCUAAUCGCAUCCAGGCCUUCACCGGGCGUGUCGCUCGUGCACACCGUGUGAUGUCAACUUAGCGGGCUAGCCCUCGGUCAGUGUUCGCGGACCCCUGGCGAAACAUAGCGAACUCACCCGUUUGUGAGCGCGUGCGCCCGCGCGCAGCGGGAACAUCUCAGUAGACGCACUACACCCGUAGAUGUUCAUGUUACGAGGUCUUCGGACGCGGGUUCGACUCCCGUCGCCUCCACCA
This 382-nucleotide transfer-messenger RNA is filed under the name Alicyclobacillaceae. RNAcentral describes it as "QXHL01 sp003584005 Standard tmRNA". It matches the Rfam family "transfer-messenger RNA". Rfam says of the family: Bacterial tmRNA, also known as 10Sa RNA or SsrA, is named for its dual tRNA and mRNA-like properties. The record is from RNAcentral. Lineage: Bacteria; Bacillati; Bacillota; Bacilli; Caryophanales. RNAcentral also lists the same sequence under 1 other name.